UGCAGUCGACGAAGCACUUUAUUUGAUUUCCUUCGGGACUGAUUAUUUUGUGACUGAGUGGCGGACGGGUGAGUAACGCGUGGGUAACCUGCCUUGUACAGGGGGAUAACAGUUGGAAACGGCUGCUAAUACCGCAUAAGCGCACGGCAUCGCAUGAUGCAGUGUGAAAAACUCCGGUGGUAUAAGAUGGACCCGCGUUGGAUUAGCUAGUUGGUGAGGUAACGGCCCACCAAGGCGACGAUCCAUAGCCGACCUGAGAGGGUGACCGGCCACAUUGGGACUGAGACACGGCCCAAACUCCUACGGGAGGCAGCAGUGGGGAAUAUUGCACAAUGGGCGAAAGCCUGAUGCAGCGACGCCGCGUGAGCGAAGAAGUAUUUCGGUAUGUAAAGCUCUAUCAGCAGGGAAGAUAAUGACGGUACCUGACUAAGAAGCACCGGCUAAAUACGUGCCAGCAGCCGCGGUAAUACGUAUGGUGCAAGCGUUAUCCGGAUUUACUGGGUGUAAAGGGAGCGCAGGCGGUGCGGCAAGUCUGAUGUGAAAGCCCGGGGCUCAACCCCGGUACUGCAUUGGAAACUGUCGUACUAGAGUGUCGGAGGGGUAAGCGGAAUUCCUAGUGUAGCGGUGAAAUGCGUAGAUAUUAGGAGGAACACCAGUGGCGAAGGCGGCUUACUGGACGAUAACUGACGCUGAGGCUCGAAAGCGUGGGGAGCAAACAGGAUUAGAUACCCUGGUAGUUCACG
This 743-nucleotide ribosomal RNA is filed under the name uncultured bacterium. RNAcentral describes it as "bacterial SSU rRNA". It matches the Rfam family "Bacterial small subunit ribosomal RNA", at positions 56 to 799 of the family's 1533-position model. The record is from RNAcentral.